UCACCUCUGGAAGCCAUUACUUAAGUGUUU
RNAcentral lists this non-coding RNA (30 nucleotides) under Rattus norvegicus (Norway rat). Lineage: Eukaryota; Metazoa; Chordata; Mammalia; Rodentia; Muridae. The record is from RNAcentral.